Molecule: ribosomal RNA, 127 nt
Filed under: Paenibacillus whitsoniae
Lineage: Bacteria; Bacillati; Bacillota; Bacilli; Caryophanales; Paenibacillaceae
Description: partial 16S ribosomal RNA
Rfam family: Bacterial small subunit ribosomal RNA
Source: RNAcentral
UUUUAUGGAGAGUUUGAUCCUGGCUCAGGACGAACGCUGGCGGCGUGCCUAAUACAUGCAAGUCGAGCGGUCCCUUCGGGGAUAGCGGCGGACGGGUGAGUAACACGUAGGCAACCUGCCUUCAAGA